AUGAUGCGCCUCCUCACCGGCGCCGGCACCAACGCCGAGUUCAGGUUCUGCCCGCGCUCCGUCGACGCCUUCGGCUCCACCGUCAUCGCCGAGGGGAGCGCCGGCCAGCUCCUCUACUGGGUGCACGCCUGGACCGUCGGGCCCGAUGGGGUGAUCACCCAGCUCAGGGAGUACUUCAACACCGACCUCACCGUCACCCGCCUCUCCGCCGCGGCGGCCACCAACAACGCCAGCGCGGGCUCCCCUAGCCACUCCUCCUCUUCCUCUGCCUCUUCCUCCCCCUCCUCGUCCACGUCCUCGGGCCUCUCCUCGCCGGCGCACACGCCCAAGUGGCCCAAGUGCCUGUGGCAGAGCCGCCGCACCGACCGCGCGCGCAAGUCGCUGCCGGGCCUCGUCCUCGCCAUCUAA
This 408-nucleotide ribosomal RNA is filed under the name Triticum aestivum (bread wheat). RNAcentral describes it as "partial small subunit ribosomal RNA". The record is from RNAcentral. Lineage: Eukaryota; Viridiplantae; Streptophyta; Magnoliopsida; Poales; Poaceae.